This 72-nucleotide transfer RNA is filed under the name Bos taurus (domestic cattle). It matches the Rfam family "tRNA". Rfam says of the family: Transfer RNA (tRNA) molecules are approximately 80 nucleotides in length. The record is from Rfam by way of RNAcentral. Lineage: Eukaryota; Metazoa; Chordata; Mammalia; Artiodactyla; Bovidae. RNAcentral also lists the same sequence under 4 other names.
UCCCAGAUAGCUCAGCGGUAAAGCAUCUGCCUACCAAUGCAGAAGAUGCAGGUUCAAUCCCUGGAUUGGGAA